This 465-nucleotide ribosomal RNA is filed under the name Vreelandella stevensii. Its description in RNAcentral is "partial 16S ribosomal RNA". It matches the Rfam family "Bacterial small subunit ribosomal RNA", at positions 338 to 795 of the family's 1533-position model. Lineage: Bacteria; Pseudomonadati; Pseudomonadota; Gammaproteobacteria; Oceanospirillales; Halomonadaceae. The record is from RNAcentral.
CCUACGGGGGGCUGCAGUGGGGAAUAUUGGACAAUGGGGGCAACCCUGAUCCAGCCAUGCCGCGUGUGUGAAGAAGGCCCUCGGGUUGUAAAGCACUUUCAGGGAGGAAGAACGCCUGGGGGUUAAAACCCAUCAGGAAAGACAUCACUCACAGAAGAAGCACCGGCUAACUCCGUGCCAGCAGCCGCGGUAAUACGGAGGGUGCGAGCGUUAAUCGGAAUUACUGGGCGUAAAGCGCGCGUAGGUGGCUUGAUAAGCCGGUUGUGAAAGCCCCGGGCUCAACCUGAGAACGGCAUCCGGAACUGUCAAGCUAGAGUGCAGGAGAGGAAGGUAGAAUUCCCGGUGUAGAGGUGAAAUGCGUAGAGAUCGGGAGGAAUACCAGUGGCGAAGGCGGCCUUCUGGACUGACACUGACACUGAGGUGCGAAAGCGUGGGUAGCAAACAGGAUUAGAUACCCUGGUAGUC